Long non-coding RNA from Coregonus clupeaformis (lake whitefish), 962 nucleotides. RefSeq lists it as uncharacterized. The transcript has 3 exons. The record is from RefSeq and is a predicted model, not a curated record. Lineage: Eukaryota; Metazoa; Chordata; Actinopteri; Salmoniformes; Salmonidae.
UUUCACGUGCGAUGAUUUGUUGAAGUUCAACAACAUAUGAGUUAAUUUCGAUUUCCCCCCCCCCCUAAUAAUGUUGAAUAGGCUAACCUUCUAGCUACACAACACUUAUGUUUUAGUGGACAAUAUCAAUAGCAUUUUGCUUGUUGGCUAGUUGCAAGUAUAGCUAGCCAGAAGCUAAUUCUCUUUGGCCAUACAGUGAGAUGCAUAGACGCUAGCUUAAACGAGUCAACUCUGUUGACAUAAGAUGCAACAUUUGGUAUGUAUGGACAAUAGCUCACUAGCAUUCUAGCUAGCUAAACUCUCUUUCAAAGAAGAUAGCUAGCUAGGCAUAAGACAGUAAACUGAAGUCUGCUGCGCCUCAUCAUCAUUCAUUGCAUUGAAUGCAUGAAACAUCUCAAGCUUUGUUUCUCCCUUCACAGCAAUCUGGAUCCAUUGACAGAGACUUAUGGAAUCCGAUUUUACCUACAUUACCUGGCCCACUGGCCUGAGUACUUCAUUGUUGCAGAGGCCCCUGGUGGAGAAUUGAUGGGUGACAGUAGAUAUGAGGAAAGCCUUGUCGAGAGACACAGAGAAGAAGUCCAUCAUUCCUAUACCACAUCCUGUCAGACCAGAAGAUAUAGAAUAAUAGUAGACUGUGGCAUUCUGACACUUUUGAAAACAAAUACAUUUAUAUUUCCCAAAAGUCUGCAUUGGAAAAUGAAGGGUGAUUAGGACUAGUUUUAUUGUUAAGGUGUAGUGUGUGAAAGCUUACAGUAUAUCAUUGUACAUAAUAUUGACUUAUCCAAAAAAUGAUCCUUUGUGAAACUUGUGUGAAAUUUGAAAGUACGAAAUGCUAUAUGGAAUUGAAAGGACUAAUUCAAAUUCAAUAAAUGAUAUCUACUUACAUGACUCACCCAGGUAAAUGAUAUCUGCUGCGUUGUUACAAUCAGUUAUAUGGUACAAAUAAAUGAAAACAUGUUGGA